GUGAUCUUGGCCGAGUGGUUAAGGCGACACAAUAUUGAUUCAUGUUUCAAUGGAUUGUACGGCAAUCAAACUCGUUAGCAUAAGCUUCGUAGGUUCGAAUCCUACAGAUCAUC
Naegleria gruberi is the source of this 113-nucleotide transfer RNA. It matches the Rfam family "tRNA". Rfam says of the family: Transfer RNA (tRNA) molecules are approximately 80 nucleotides in length. The record is from Rfam. Lineage: Eukaryota; Heterolobosea; Eutetramitea; Acrasida; Naegleriidae.